Molecule: ribosomal RNA, 379 nt
Filed under: uncultured eukaryote
Lineage: Eukaryota
Description: partial 18S ribosomal RNA
Rfam family: Eukaryotic small subunit ribosomal RNA
Source: RNAcentral
CAAUAGCGUAUAUUAAAGUUGUUGCAGUUAGAACGCUCGUAGUCGGAUUUCGGGGCGGGCCGACCGGUCUGCCGAUGGGUAUGCACUGGUCGGCGCGUCCUUCCUUCCGGAGACCGUCCCUACUCUUAACUGAGCGGGGGCGGGAGACGGGACUUUUACUUUGAAAAAAUCAGAGUGUUUCGAGCAGGCAGCUCGCUCUUGCAUGGAUUAGCAUGGGAUAAUGAAAUAGGACUUUGGUGCUAUUUUGUUGGUUUCGAACACCGAAGUAAUGAUGAGAAGGGACAGUCAGGGGCACUCGUAUUCCGCCGAGAGAGGUGAAAUUCUCAGACCAGCGGAAGACGAACCACUGCGAAAGCAUUUGCCAGGGAUGUUUNCACUG